This 73-nucleotide transfer RNA is filed under the name Bos taurus (domestic cattle). It matches the Rfam family "tRNA". From Rfam's summary of the family: Transfer RNA (tRNA) molecules are approximately 80 nucleotides in length. Their secondary structure includes four short double-helical elements and three loops (D, anti-codon, and T loops). Lineage: Eukaryota; Metazoa; Chordata; Mammalia; Artiodactyla; Bovidae. RNAcentral also lists the same sequence under 5 other names. The record is from Rfam by way of RNAcentral.
UCCCCAAUGGUCCAGUGGUUAAGACUCCAUGCUUCAAAUGCAGGGGACCUGGGUUCAAUCCCUGGUUGAGGAA